Molecule: non-coding RNA, 120 nt
Organism: Giardia lamblia ATCC 50803
Lineage: Eukaryota; Fornicata; Diplomonadida; Hexamitidae
Source: Rfam
CAGUUCGGCCAUCCUACGGCGGAAACUCCUUAACUCGUUCCGAAUUAAGAAGAGAAGCGCCGUCAGGCCCCGCCAGUACUGCGAUCGGAGACGUCGUGGGAACACGGGGUGCCGAACCUU